This 515-nucleotide ribosomal RNA is filed under the name uncultured archaeon. RNAcentral describes it as "bacterial SSU rRNA". It matches the Rfam family "Archaeal small subunit ribosomal RNA", at positions 93 to 593 of the family's 1478-position model. The record is from RNAcentral.
GUAACACGUAGUCAACCUGCCCUCGGGUCGAGAAUAAUCUCGGGAAACUGAGGCUAAUGAGCGAUAGGUCAAGAUUCCUGGAAUGGGUUUUGGUCUAAACGGCGUGACAGCAUCUUGUCGUGUCCGCCCGAGGAUGGGACUGCGGCCGAUCAGGCUGUUGGUGGGGUAAAGGCCCACCAAACCAGUAACCGGUACGGGCUUUGAGAGAAGGAGCCCGGAGAUGGACACUGAGACAAGGGUCCAGGUCCUACGGGGCGCAGCAGGCGCGAAACCUUCGCAAUGCGCGCAAGCGCGACGAGGUUAUUCCGAGUGAUUUCCGCUGAGGAAAUCUUUUCUUAGAUCUAAAAAGUCUGGGGAAUAAGGGGAGGGCAAGUCUGGUGUCAGCCGCCGCGGUAAUACCAGCUCCUCGAGUGGUCAGGGCGUUUAUUGGGCCUAAAGCAUCCGUAGCCUGCUCGGUAGGUCUCCUGUUAAAUCCAACGGCUCAACCGUUGGCCUGGAGGACAUAACGCUGGACA